This 314-nucleotide ribosomal RNA is filed under the name uncultured eukaryote. Its description in RNAcentral is "partial 18S ribosomal RNA". It matches the Rfam family "Eukaryotic small subunit ribosomal RNA", at positions 1470 to 1796 of the family's 1831-position model. The record is from RNAcentral.
CCCUUAGAUGUUCUGGGCCGCACGCGCGCUACACUGAUGCACUCAACGAGUCUCCACCUUGACCGAGAGGUCCGGGAAACCUUCGAACUUGCAUCGUGAUGGGGAUAGAUUAUUGCAACUAUUAAUCUUCAACGAGGAAUACCUAGUAGGCGCAUGUCAUCAGCGUGCGUCGAUUACGUCCCUGCCCUUUGUACACACCGCCCGUCGCACCUACCGAUUGAAUGGUCCGGUGAAGCCUCCGGAUUGGCGCGCACCUCGGUGCCGCCGAGAAGUUGGCUAAACCUUACCAUUUAGAGGAAGGUGAAGUCGUAACA